This 448-nucleotide ribosomal RNA is filed under the name uncultured bacterium. RNAcentral's name for it is "bacterial SSU rRNA". It matches the Rfam family "Bacterial small subunit ribosomal RNA", at positions 330 to 794 of the family's 1533-position model. The record is from RNAcentral.
CCCAGACUCCUACGGGAGGCAGCAGUGGGGAAUAUUGCACAAUGGGGGAAACCCUGAUGCAGCGACGCCGCGUGAAGGAAGAAGUAUUUCGGUAUGUAAACUUCUAUCAGCAGGGAAGAAAAUGACGGUACCUGACUAAGAAGCCCCGGCUAACUACGUGCCAGCAGCCGCGGUAAUACGUAGGGGGCAAGCGUUAUCCGGAUUUACUGGGUGUAAAGGGAGCGUAGACGGCAGUGCAAGUCCGGAGUGAAAGCCCGGGGCUCAACCCUGGGACUGCUCUGGAAACUGUAAAGCUGGAGUGCGGGAGGGGCAGGCGGAAUUCCUGGUGUAGCGGUGAAAUGCGUAGAUAUCAGGAGGAACACCGGCGGCGAAGGCGGCCUGCUGGACAGUAACUGACGUUGAGGCUCGAAAGCGUGGGGAGCAAACAGGAUUAGAUACCCUUGUAUAU